UAUUUAGUUAAUUCUAUUAGUAGUUAUAUAUUUAUUUUAAAGAUUAAAUUAUAUAUAUUUAAAUUUAAAUAAUUAAAUUGUGAAAUUGCGAAUGGCUUAUUAAAUUAGUUAUAGUUUAUUUGAUAGUACUUUACUAUAUAGAUAACCGUAGUAAUUCUAGAAUUAAUAUAUAUUAAAAACCCCGAUUUCGGAAGGGGUAUAUUUAUUAAAUUAAAAACCAAUACCCUUCGGGGCUAAUUAAUAAUUUAUAAUAACUUUUCGAAUCGUAUAGCCUUAUACUAACGAUAGUUUAUUUAAAUUUUUACUUUAUUAACUUUCAACAGUUAAAUUUUAGCUAGCUAUAGUAAUAAUAAGUAACGGAGGGUUAGGGCUCAACUCCGGAGAAGGAGCUUGAAAAAUAGCUAUUAUAUUUAAGGAAGGUAAUAGGCGUACAAAUUACCUAAUUCUAAUAUAAGGAGGUAGUAAUAAUAAAUAUUAAUAUAAGGCUCUUUUAGAUUUUAUAAUUAGAAUAAAUAUAAUUUAAAUCCCUUAACGAGGAAUAAUUGGAGGGCAAAUUUAAUACUAGUAGCCGCAGUAAUUCUAACUUUAAUAGCGUAUAUUAAAGUUAUUAAAGUUAAAAAGCUUAUAAUUGAACCUUAGGCUCGGCCCGUCGGUCCGCCUCACCGUAUAUAUUAAUUAGGUCGGGCCUUUUUUCCUAGAGAACCGUAUACCCUUUACUAGGUAUGUCGGGGAAUUAGGACUUUUACUAUAAAUAAAUUAAAUCGUUUAAAGAAGGCCUAUAUUCGAAUAUAUUAGUAUAGAAUAAUAGAAUAGGAUAUAUAGUUCUAUUUUAUUAGUUUCUAAGACCGCUAUAAUAAUUAAUAGGGAUAAUCGGGGGUAUUAGUAUUUAAUUAUCAAAGGUAAAAUUCUUAAAUUUAUUAAAGACUAACUACUAUAAAAGUAUUUACUAAGGAUAUUUUUAUUAAUCAGGAAUGAAAAUUAGGGGAUCGAAGAUAAUCAAAUACCGUUAUAGUUUUAAUUAUAAAUUAUACUAAUUAAGGAUCGGAUAGUAUUAUUUUUUAACCCGUUCGGCACCUUAUAAUAAAUUAAAAUAUUUAGGCUCCUAAAGGAAUAUAGUUAUAAGGCUAAAAUUUAAAGAAAUUAAUGGAAGGGUACUAUUAAGGGUAGAGCUUAUAGUUUAAUUUAAUUUAAUACGGGGAAACUCACUAGGUUUAAAUAUAAUAAGGAUUAAUAAAUUGAAAAUUCUUUUUUAAUUUCGUAAAUAGUAGUAUAUAGCUAUUCUUAAUUAAUAAAGUAAUUUAUUUACUUAAUUGCAAUAACGAACGAAACUUUAACCUACUAAAUAACUUAUAUUACUUUAGUAAUAUAUUAAUUUCUUAAAGGGACUAUUAAUUUAAACUAAUAAAAGUUUAAGGUAAUAAUAGGUUUGUAAUACCCUUAAAUAUUUUAGGCUAUAUACGUACUAUAUUAAUAUAGCUAACAAAUACUCCUUUAAUUGGAAGGUCCGGGUAAUCUUAUUAAAUUAUAUUAUAUUAGGGAUAGAGUAUUACAAUUAUUACUCUUUAAUAAGGAAUCCCUAAUAAAUAUAAAUUAUUAACUUAUAUUAAUUAUAUCCCUGCCCUUUGUAUAUACCGCCCGUCGCUACUAUUAAUUAAAUAGUUUAAUAAGGCUUCCGGAUUAGUUUAGGGAGGUUAGUAAUAAUUAUUUAAGGCCGGAAAGUUAUUUAAAUUCAAUUAUUUAGAGGAAGUAAAAGUUGUAAUAAGGUCUCCGUUAGUAAAUUAGCGGAGGAAUUAUUA
Molecule: ribosomal RNA, 1796 nt
Organism: Neurospora crassa OR74A
Lineage: Eukaryota; Fungi; Ascomycota; Sordariomycetes; Sordariales; Sordariaceae
Rfam family: Eukaryotic small subunit ribosomal RNA
Source: Rfam